This 825-nucleotide ribosomal RNA is filed under the name Leucochloron incuriale. RNAcentral describes it as "eukaryotic LSU rRNA". The stretch from base 351 to 506 matches the Rfam family "5.8S ribosomal RNA". The record is from RNAcentral. Lineage: Eukaryota; Viridiplantae; Streptophyta; Magnoliopsida; Fabales; Fabaceae.
UCCGGUGAAGUGUUCGGAUCGCGGCGACGUGGGCGGUUCGCUGCCGGCGACGUCGCGAGAAGUCCACUGAACCUUAUCAUUUAGAGGAAGGAGAAGUCGUAACAAGGUUUCCGUAGGUGAACCUGCGGAAGGAUCAUUGUCGAUGCCACACAAAAAGAGCGACCCGCGAACCGGUUUGAACAAAACUCUAAGAGGGGGAGGGCGAAGGCUCCGCCCGAGGCCUCUCCCGGCAACCAAACCCCGGCGCCUCAGGCGCCAAGGAAACGAAACAGAGCGAGGCACGCCCGCUGGCGGCCCGGGAACGGCGCCGAUCGCCCAGCGUGGCUCCUCACGCCAUUUGCAUCCGAAACGACUCUCGGCAACGGAUAUCUCGGCUCUCGCAUCGAUGAAGAACGUAGCGAAAUGCGAUACUUGGUGUGAAUUGCAGAAUCCCGUGAACCAUCGAGUCUUUGAACGCAAGUUGCGCCCGAAGCCACUAGGCCGAGGGCACGUCUGCCUGGGUGUCACACAACGUCGCCAACGCCCGGUCCUCCGGGCGCGGCGGAUGAUGGCCGCCCGGGGGCCUCGCCCCCCGGCCGGCCGAAAAAGGGGCCCGACGUGACGAACGCCACGAUCCACGGUGGUUGGGCGAACAUUCGCUCGAGGCCAUGACGUGCGCGCGUCGUCCCACGGCGAGGGCCCGUCGGCUAGGGCAAACAUGCGGCAGCAGAGAGCCCCCCACUCGUACGCGACCCCAGUCAGGCGGGGCUACCCGCUGAGUUUAAGCAUAUCAAUAAGCGGAGGAAAAGAAACUAACGAGGAUUCCCCUAGUAACGGCGAGCGAAC